This 254-nucleotide ribosomal RNA is filed under the name uncultured bacterium. RNAcentral describes it as "partial 16S ribosomal RNA". It matches the Rfam family "Bacterial small subunit ribosomal RNA", at positions 524 to 776 of the family's 1533-position model. The record is from RNAcentral.
CACGUAGCACCAAGCGUUGUCCGGAUUUAUUGGGCGUAAAGAGCUCGUAGGCGGUUCAGUAAGUCGGGUGUGAAAACUCUGGGCUUAACCCAGAAACGCCACCCGAUACUGCUGUGACUUGAGUACGGUAGGGGAGCAGGGAAUUCCUGGUGUAGCGGUGAAAUGCGCAGAUAUCAGGAGGAACACCGGUGGCGAAGGCGGCAUCCUGGACCAACACUGACGCUGAGUGAGCGAAAGCCAGGGGAGCAAACGGG